CGGGUGAGUAACGUGUGGGCAACCUGCCCUGCACUGGGGAAUAAUCAUUGGAAACGAUGACUAAUACCGCAUACGGUUCCUGGGAGGCAUCUUCCGGGAAAGAAAGGAUUUAUUCGGUGCAGGAUGGGCCCGCAUCUGAUUAGCUAGUUGGUGAGAUAACAGCCCACCAAGGCGAUGAUCAGUAGCCGACCUGAGAGGGUGACCGGCCACAUUGGGACUGAGACACGGCCCAAACUCCUACGGAAGGCAGCAG
This 253-nucleotide ribosomal RNA is filed under the name uncultured bacterium. Its description in RNAcentral is "partial 16S ribosomal RNA". It matches the Rfam family "Bacterial small subunit ribosomal RNA", at positions 103 to 354 of the family's 1533-position model. The record is from RNAcentral.